GGGCAACUAGCUCAAAUGGUAGAGCGCUCGCUUAGCAUGCGAGAGGUACUGGGAUCGAUACCCAGGUGGUCCA
This 73-nucleotide transfer RNA is filed under the name Trichuris suis (pig whipworm). It matches the Rfam family "tRNA". Rfam says of the family: Transfer RNA (tRNA) molecules are approximately 80 nucleotides in length. Their secondary structure includes four short double-helical elements and three loops (D, anti-codon, and T loops). Further hydrogen bonds mediate the characteristic L-shaped molecular structure. tRNAs have two regions of fundamental functional importance: the anti-codon, which is responsible for specific mRNA codon recognition, and the 3' end, to which the tRNAs corresponding amino acid is attached (by aminoacyl-tRNA synthetases). tRNAs cope with the degeneracy of the genetic code in two manners: having more than one tRNA (with a specific anti-codon) for a particular amino acid; and 'wobble' base-pairing, i.e. permitting non-standard base-pairing at the 3rd anti-codon position. Lineage: Eukaryota; Metazoa; Nematoda; Enoplea; Trichinellida; Trichuridae. The record is from Rfam by way of RNAcentral.